This 324-nucleotide ribosomal RNA is filed under the name uncultured bacterium. Its description in RNAcentral is "bacterial SSU rRNA". It matches the Rfam family "Bacterial small subunit ribosomal RNA", at positions 28 to 334 of the family's 1533-position model. The record is from RNAcentral.
GAUGAACGCUGGCGGCGUGCCUAACACAUGCAAGUCGAGCGAAGCGCCUUACUUGAUUUCUUCGGGAUGAAAGUAUUGUGACUGAGCGGCGGACGGGUGAGUAACGCGUGGGUAACCUGCCUCAUACAGGGGGAUAACAGUUAGAAAUGACUGCUAAUACCGCAUAAGACCACAGCACCGCAUGGUGCAGGGGUAAAAACUCCGGUGGUAUGAGAUGGACCCGCGUCUGAUUAGCUAGUUGGUAAGGUAACGGCUUACCAAGGCAACGAUCAGUAGCCGACCUGAGAGGGUGACCGGCCACAUUGGGACUGAGACACGGCCCAG